AUUGAACGCUGGCGGCAUGCUUUACACAUGCAAGUCGAGCGGCAGCGCGGGGGCAACCCUGGCGGCGAGCGGCGAACGGGUGAGUAAUGCAUCGGAACGUAUCCUCGAGUGGGGGAUAACCCAGCGAAAGUUGGGCUAAUACCGCAUGAGCUCUGAGGAGGAAAGCGGGGGACCUGCGAGGGCCUCGCGCUGGAGGAGCGGCCGAUGUCCGAUUAGCUAGUUGGUGGGGUAAAGGCUUACCAAGGCGACGAUCGGUAGCUGGUCUGAGAGGAUGAACAGCCACACUGGGACUGAGACACGGCCCAGACUCCUACGGGAGGCAGCAGUGGGGAAUUUUGGACAAUGGGGGCAACCCUGAUCCAGCCAUGCCGCGUGAGUGAAGAAGGCCUUCGGGUUGUAAAGCUCUUUCGGACGGAACGAAAUGGGCGGGACUAAUACUCCUGUCUGAUGACGGUACCGUAAGAAGAAGCACCGGCUAACUACGUG
This 486-nucleotide ribosomal RNA is filed under the name uncultured bacterium. Its description in RNAcentral is "partial 16S ribosomal RNA". It matches the Rfam family "Bacterial small subunit ribosomal RNA", at positions 29 to 507 of the family's 1533-position model. The record is from RNAcentral.